Molecule: ribosomal RNA, 253 nt
Filed under: uncultured bacterium
Lineage: Bacteria
Description: partial 16S ribosomal RNA
Rfam family: Bacterial small subunit ribosomal RNA
Source: RNAcentral
UACGUAGGGUGCGAGCGUUGUCCGGAAUUAUUGGGCGUAAAGCGUGCGCAGGCGGUUCGUUAAGUUCGAUGUGAAAGCCCCGGGCUCAACCUGGGAACUGCAUUGGAAACUGGCGAGCUUGAAUGCGGCAGAGGGGGGUGGAAUUCCGCGUGUAGCAGUGAAAUGCGUAGAGAUGCGGAGGAACACCGAUGGCGAAGGCAGCCCCCUGGGCCGACAUUGACGCUCAGGCACGAAAGCGUGGGGAGCAAACAGG